RNAcentral lists this ribosomal RNA (503 nucleotides) under uncultured bacterium. RNAcentral describes it as "partial 16S ribosomal RNA". It matches the Rfam family "Bacterial small subunit ribosomal RNA", at positions 30 to 523 of the family's 1533-position model. The record is from RNAcentral.
AUUGAACGCUGGCGGCAGGCUUAACACAUGCAAGUCGAGCGGGGUGAUGGUGCUUGCACUAUCACUUAGCGGCGGACGGGUGAGUAAUGCUUAGGAAUCUGCCUAUUAGUGGGGGACAACAUCUCGAAAGGGAUGCUAAUACCGCAUACGUCCUACGGGAGAAAGCAGGGGAUCACUUGUGACCUUGCGCUAAUAGAUGAGCCUAAGUCGGAUUAGCUAGUUGGUGGGGUAAAGGCCUACCAAGGCGACGAUCUGUAGCGGGUCUGAGAGGAUGAUCCGCCACACUGGGACUGAGACACGGCCCAGACUCCUACGGGAGGCAGCAGUGGGGAAUAUUGGACAGUGGGGGGAACCCUGAUCCAGCCAUGCCGCGUGUGUGAAGAAGGCCUUAUGGUCGUAAAGCACUUUAAGCGAGGAGGAGGCUCUUUUGGUUAAUACCCAAGAUGAGUGGACGUUACUCGCAGAAUAAGUACCGGCUAACUCUGUGCCAGCCGCCGCCGUAA